CGUCACACUAUCAUUAACUGAAUCCAUAGGUUAAUGAGGCGAACCGGGGGAACUGAAACAUCUAAGUACCCCGAGGAAAAGAAAUCAACCGAGAUUCCCCCAGUAGCGGCGAGCGAACGGGGAGGAGCCCAGAGCCUGAAUCAGCAUGUGUGUUAGUGGAAGCGUCUGGAAAGGCGCGCGAUACAGGGUGACAGCCCCGUACACAAAAGCGCAUGUGCUGUGAGCUCGAUGAGUAGGGCGGGACACGUGGUAUCCUGUCUGAAUAUGGGGGGACCAUCCUCCAAGGCUAAAUACUCCUGACUGACCGAUAGUGAACCAGUACCGUGAGGGAAAGGCGAAAAGAACCCCGGCGAGGGGAGUGAAAAAGAACCUGAAACCGUGUACGUACAAGCAGUGGGAGCACCCUUUGGGUGUGACUGCGUACCUUUUGUAUAAUGGGUCAGCGACUUAUAUUCUGUAGCAAGGUUAACCGAAUAGGGGAGCCGGAGGGAAACCGAGUCUUAACCGGGCGUUAAGUUGCAGGGUAUAGACCCGAAACCCGGUGAUCUAGCCAUGGGCAGGUUGAAGGUUGGGUAACACUAACUGGAGGACCGAACCGACUAAUGUUGAAAAAUUAGCGGAUGACCUGUGGCUGGGGGUGAAAGGCCAAUCAAACCGGGAGAUAGCUGGUUCUCCCCGAAAGCUAUUUAGGUAGCGCCUCGUGAAUUCAUCUCCGGGGGUAGAGCACUGUUUCGGCUAGGGGGCCAUCCCGGCUUACCAACCCGAUGCAAACUGCGAAUACCGGAGAAUGUUAUCACGGGAGACACACGGCGGGUGCUAACGUCCGUCGUGAAGAGGGAAACAACCCAGACCGCCAGCUAAGGUCCCAAAGUCAUGGUUAAGUGGGAAACGAUGUGGGAAGGCCCAGACAGCCAGGAUGUUGGCUUAGAAGCAGCCAUCAUUUAAAGAAAGCGUAAUAGCUCACUGGUCGAGUCGGCCUGCGCGGAAGAUGUAACGGGGCUAAACCAUGCACCGAAGCUGCGGCAGCGACACUGUGUGUUGUUGGGUAGGGGAGCGUUCUGUAAGCCUGUGAAGGUGUGUCGUGAGGCAUGCUGGAGGUAUCAGAAGUGCGAAUGCUGACAUAAGUAACGAUAAAGCGGGUGAAAAGCCCGCUCGCCGGAAGACCAAGGGUUCCUGUCCAACGUUAAUCGGGGCAGGGUGAGUCGACCCCUAAGGCGAGGCCGAAAGGCGUAGUCGAUGGGAAACGGGUUAAUAUUCCCGUACUUGGUGUUACUGCGAAGGGGGGACGGAGAAGGCUAUGUUGGCCGGGCGACGGUUGUC
RNAcentral lists this ribosomal RNA (1320 nucleotides) under Salmonella enterica subsp. enterica serovar Enteritidis. RNAcentral's name for it is "partial 23S ribosomal RNA". It matches the Rfam family "Bacterial large subunit ribosomal RNA", at positions 141 to 1506 of the family's 2925-position model. Lineage: Bacteria; Pseudomonadati; Pseudomonadota; Gammaproteobacteria; Enterobacterales; Enterobacteriaceae. The record is from RNAcentral.